This 492-nucleotide ribosomal RNA is filed under the name uncultured bacterium. Its description in RNAcentral is "partial 16S ribosomal RNA". It matches the Rfam family "Bacterial small subunit ribosomal RNA", at positions 29 to 507 of the family's 1533-position model. The record is from RNAcentral.
AGUGAACGCUGGCGGUAGGCCUAACACAUGCAAGUCGAACGGCAGCACAGUAAGAGCUUGCUCUUACGGGUGGCGAGUGGCGGACGGGUGAGGAAUACAUCGGAAUCUACUUUUUCGUGGGGGAUAACGUAGGGAAACUUACGCUAAUACAGCAUACGACCUACGGGUGAAAGCAGGGGAUCUUCGGACCUUGCGCGAUUGAAUGAGCCGAUGUGGGAUUAGCUGGUUGGCGGGGUAAAGGCCCACCAAGGCGACGAUCCGUAGCUGGUCUGAGAGGAGGGUCAGCCACACUGGAACGGGGACACGGUCCAGACGCCUACGGGAGGCAGCAGUGGGGAAUAUUGGACAAUGGGCGCAAGCCUGAUCCAGCCAUACCGCGUGGGUGAAGAAGGCCUUCGGGUUGUAAAGCCCUUUUGUGGGGAAAGAAAAGCAGCAGGUUAAUACCCCGCUGUUCUGACGGUACCCAAAGAAGAAGCACCGGCUAACUUCGUG